This 310-nucleotide ribosomal RNA is filed under the name uncultured bacterium. RNAcentral's name for it is "bacterial SSU rRNA". It matches the Rfam family "Bacterial small subunit ribosomal RNA", at positions 28 to 339 of the family's 1533-position model. The record is from RNAcentral.
GAUCAACGCUGGCGGCGUGCCUAAUGCAUGCAAGUCGGACGCGGCCUCCUUCGGGGGGUUGGCGUGGCGGACGGGUGAGGAGCACGUGGGGAACCUGCCCUGGGGUGGGGGGUAGCCCUCGGAACGGGGGGUAAUUCCGCAUGCACUCAACGGGCGGUAGGCGCGUUGAGGAAAGCCGGGCAACCGGUGCCCUGGGAUGGUCCUGCGUCCGAUUAGCUGGUUGGUGGGGUAACGCCUACCAAGGCGGUGAUCGGUCGCUGGUCUGAGAGGACGGCCAGCCACACGGGGACUGAGACACGGCCCCGACUCC